Molecule: ribosomal RNA, 826 nt
Filed under: uncultured bacterium
Lineage: Bacteria
Description: bacterial SSU rRNA
Rfam family: Bacterial small subunit ribosomal RNA
Source: RNAcentral
AGAGUUUGAUCCUGGCUCAGAACGAACGCUGGCGGCGUGCCUAACACAUGCAAGUCGAACGGAUCAAGCGAAGAGCAUAGAGCGGAGAGCUAAGAGAAGAAUUCGGACUCUAUGCUCUAAGCUGUAUGCUCUUUGCUUGGUUAGUGGCGGACGGGUGAGUAACACGUAGGCAACCUACCCUUAAGCUGGGGACAACUCAGGGAAACUUGAGCUAAUACCCGAUAAGACCACGGGCUGGGAGGCUUGUGGUAAAAGGAGCGAUUCACUUAGGGAUGGGCCUGCGGCCUAUCAGGUAGUUGGUGAGGUAAUGGCUCACCAAGCCAAAGACGGGUAGCCGGGCUGAGAGGUCGAACGGCCACRCUGGAACUGAGACACGGUCCAGACUCCUACGGGAGGCAGCAGUGGGGAAUCUUGCGCAAUGGGGGAAACCCUGACGCAGCGACGCCGCGUGGAGGAUGAAGGCCUUCGGGUUGUAAACUCCUUUUCUUGGGGAAAAUGAUGAUGGUACCCAAGGAAUAAGCCACGGCUAACUCYGUGCCAGCAGCCGCGGUAAKACRGAGGGAGCUAGCGUUGUUCGGAAUUACUGGGCGUAAAGCGCACGUAGGCGGCUAUUCAAGUCAGAGGUGAAAGCCCGGGGCUCAACCCCGGAACUGCCUUUGAAACUAGAUAGCUUGAAUCCAGGAGAGGUGAGUGGAAUUCCGAGUGUAGAGGUGAAAUUCGUAGAUAUUCGGAAGAACACCAGUGGCGAAGGCGGCUCACUGGACUGGUAUUGACGCUGAGGUGCGAAAGCGUGGGGAGCAAACRGGAUUAGAUACCCUGGUAGUCC